RNAcentral lists this transfer RNA (52 nucleotides) under Calumma parsonii. Its description in RNAcentral is "tRNA-Cys". The record is from RNAcentral. Lineage: Eukaryota; Metazoa; Chordata; Lepidosauria; Squamata; Chamaeleonidae.
AAUCCAGCCGCCCGAAGUGCAAAUUCGGAUAAGGUGCCAUAACCCUGGAUUU